Molecule: long non-coding RNA, 1423 nt
Filed under: Mytilus galloprovincialis (Mediterranean mussel)
Lineage: Eukaryota; Metazoa; Mollusca; Bivalvia; Mytilida; Mytilidae
Source: RNAcentral
CUGUGGUUUGACAUCUGGUUGUCAGUGCACUAUUCAAUCAACAGGAGGUUUUGGUAUACAGAUAGAUGCUUUAGAUAUUAGAUUUGCAAUAAAUGAAUCCACGGGGAUCUGUUCACAGAGAUUAUACGUGAUCGACGGUUUUGACGAAAGUGACAUUGCUUGUGAUGAUGUCAAUCUUUUUGAAAGACGGAUAUUGUAUUCAAGUUUGACAGACACAAUUCAACUCCGAUAUGACAAUACAUACGAUGGAUCGAAUGGAAACUUCUGGAUCUUAUUACAAGGUCAGUAGUUACAUGUAUGCAGUCUAUAUGUGAUAAAAAGAAAAUAUAAUUAUUGAAAAAUCGUUUACUAUAUCAGAACAUAUAUAUUAGACAACAUUAUUUGAAUAGAUUAAGUUUACAAUAAAAAGCACUUUAUAAAUAUAUUUAUCUUACCUCCAAUACAUUUCUAGGAAUAUGAUUGGUUAAAAGCGUCCGCAUAGAGGCUGUGUAUAUUUCAUAUUAGGUUUGUAGGUAGGCGGGGCUUAUUUCAUACACGGUUAGAAAUGGUGUUACUAUCCUUUAUAAUCUAUAUUAGGUGAGAAGUACACGGUUAGUAGUGGUGUUACGUCCCUUUAUAAAAACAAAACGGUACUGAGAAAAAAUCUUCAAGGUUUCAACAGACGAAGAAAGUGAUGAUUAAGAUUGAAAUAAAUUCAUAAAACACAUUUAAACCUAACAAGUUGUUAUUGUUGGUAUCUGUUUUUGUAGGAUCAAUGGAAGUAGUUUCUUAAUGCUAACAGUAUUGAAGACUUGCUCAUUUUGAUAGGACACUAGUCUAAAUUUCACAAGUUAAGAUAGUCGGUAAGAUAAAUUCCUUACAUAGUGUGCUAGUGACCUAAUACGGUAUAUAUGGGGUCACUAUCACACUAUAUAACUAAUAAUAUUGGGAUUUAUUGUGUAUGAACAUAAAUACAUGUGUUUUCCUUUUUUAUAAUCACUGAUUACUUUUCUAAAAUAUUCAUGCAACAUUAAUUCUGUCUAGUUUGGACUGCUUUUCAAGUAGUUAAUUUAUAUGUAAAAAAAAUGAUAAAAUAAAUGUACACCAUAUUUCCAGCCACAGAUAACAGCCAAACCUUAACGAUAACAUGUAAUGAAGUUCUAUUAACCAACACUGAAUACAAUUGUGGUGAAAACUUCACAAUAAUUUCUCCGGCAACAGGCCCUACCACAACAGAUACUGUGACAACGAAUAGUGAACCAGAUUCGACAUCGAUGCCAACAACAACACCAUCAUCUUUUACGUCUAAAAGUACACACCCUGUUACUGAAGUACUUACUUCCACACUUGAUGCUGAUGCGACUGUUCCUACUGAUGUUACUACUCCGACUGAUCCUACUGAUGUCACUGAUCCCACUGAUGUUACAAAUCCAACUGAUGCUUC